UCCGGAUAACGCACAUAUGCUGGAAUGCUUUAUGCGUGAACUGGAUUCGUCUUGCCCAAAGGAUGGGUCUGCGGCCCUAUCAGGUAAUAGUGGGUGUAAUUGUACCUAUUAGCCUACGACGGGUACGGGUUGUGAGAGCAAGAGCCCGAAGAUGGAUUCUGAGACAUGAAUCCAGGCCCUACGGGGCGCAGCAGGCGCGAAAAACUUUACAAUGCGGGAAACCGUGAUAAGGGGACACCGAGUGCCAGCAUCAUAUGCUGGCUGUCCAGGUGUGCAAAAUACACCUGUUAGCAAGGGCCGGGCAAGACCGGUGCCAGCCGCCGCGGUAACACCGGCGGCCCGAGUGGUGAUCGUGAUUAUUGGGUCUAAAGGGUCCGUAGCCGGUUUGGUCAGUCCUCCGGGAAAUCUGACAGCUUAACUGUUAGGCUUUCGGGGGAUACUGCCAGACUUGGAACCGGGAGAGGUAAGAGGUACUACAGGGGUAGGAGUGAAAUCUUGUAAUCCCUGUGGGACCACCUGUGGCGAAGGCGUCUUACCAGAACGGGUUCGACGGUGAGGGACGAAAGCUGGGGGCACGAACCGGAUUAGAUACCCGGGUAGUCCCAGCCGUAAACGAUGCUCGCUAGGUGUCAGGCAUGGCGCGACCGUGUCUGGUGCCGCAGGGAAGCCGUGAAGCGAGCCACCUGGGAAGUACGGCCGCAAGGCUGAAACUUAAAGGAAUUGGCGGGGGAGCACAA
RNAcentral lists this ribosomal RNA (737 nucleotides) under uncultured Methanosarcinaceae archaeon. Its description in RNAcentral is "SSU rRNA". It matches the Rfam family "Archaeal small subunit ribosomal RNA", at positions 151 to 881 of the family's 1478-position model. The record is from RNAcentral. Lineage: Archaea; Methanobacteriati; Methanobacteriota; Methanomicrobia; Methanosarcinales; Methanosarcinaceae.